Molecule: ribosomal RNA, 253 nt
Filed under: uncultured bacterium
Lineage: Bacteria
Description: partial 16S ribosomal RNA
Rfam family: Bacterial small subunit ribosomal RNA
Source: RNAcentral
UACGAAGGGGGCGAGCGUUGUUCGGAUUUAUUGGGCGUAAAGAGCGUGUAGGCGGCCUGACAGGUCUGCUGUGAAAACUCGAGGCUCAACCUCGAGAUGUCGGCGGAAACCGUCUGGCUAGAGUCCGGAAGAGGAGAGUGGAAUUCCUGGUGUAGCGGUGAAAUGCGCAGAUAUCAGGAAGAACACCUAUGGCGAAGGCAGCUCUCUGGGACGGUACUGACGCUGAGACGCGAAAGCGUGGGGAGCGAACAGG